Molecule: non-coding RNA, 24 nt
Filed under: Arabidopsis thaliana (thale cress)
Lineage: Eukaryota; Viridiplantae; Streptophyta; Magnoliopsida; Brassicales; Brassicaceae
Source: RNAcentral
ACCACCACCACCAGCGCCGCCACC